RNAcentral lists this ribosomal RNA (467 nucleotides) under uncultured bacterium. RNAcentral describes it as "partial 16S ribosomal RNA". It matches the Rfam family "Bacterial small subunit ribosomal RNA", at positions 28 to 507 of the family's 1533-position model. The record is from RNAcentral.
GACGAACGCUGGCGGCGUGCUUAACACAUGCAAGUCGAACGGAAAGGCCCUGCUUUUGUGGGGUGCUCGAGUGGCGAACGGGUGAGUAACACGUGAGUAACCUGCCCUUGACUUUGGGAUAACUUCAGGAAACUGGGGCUAAUACCGGAUAGGAGCUCCUGCUGCAUGGUGGGGGUUGGAAAGUUUCGGCGGUUGGGGAUGGACUCGCGGCUUAUCAGCUUGUUGGUGGGUAGUGGCAUACCAAGGCUUUGCCUGGUAGCCGGCCUGGGAGGGUGACCGGCCACAUUGGGACUGAGAUACGGCCCAGACUCCUACGGGGGGCAGCAGUGGGGAAUAUUGCACAAUGGGCGGAAGCCUGAGGCGGCAACGCCGCGUGCGGGAUGACGGCCUUCGGGUUGUAAACCGCUGUCGCCUGUGACGAAGCGUGAGUGACGGUAAUGGGUAAAUAAGCACCGGCUAACUACGUG